UACGUAGGGUGCAAGCGUUGUCCGGAAUUAUUGGGCGUAAAGAGCCCGUAGGCGGUCUGUCACGUCUGCUGUGAAAACUCGGGGCUUAACCCCGGGCCUGCAGUGGGUACGGGCAGACUAGAGUGCGGUAGGGGAGACUGGAAUUCCUGGUGUAGCGGUGAAAUGCGCAGAUAUCAGGAGGAACACCGGUGGCGAAGGCGGGUCUCUGGGCCGUAACUGACGCUGAGGAGCGAAAGCGUGGGGAGCGAACGGG
RNAcentral lists this ribosomal RNA (253 nucleotides) under uncultured bacterium. Its description in RNAcentral is "partial 16S ribosomal RNA". It matches the Rfam family "Bacterial small subunit ribosomal RNA", at positions 524 to 776 of the family's 1533-position model. The record is from RNAcentral.